Molecule: ribosomal RNA, 372 nt
Filed under: uncultured bacterium
Lineage: Bacteria
Description: bacterial SSU rRNA
Rfam family: Bacterial small subunit ribosomal RNA
Source: RNAcentral
UACGGAGGAUCCAAGCGUUGUCCGGAUUUAUUGGGUUUAAAGGGUGCGUAGGCGGAUUAUUAAGUCAGAGGUGAAAGCCGGUAGCUCAACUAUCGAAUAGCCUUUGAAACUGUUAGUCUUGAGUAUUGUUGAGGUAGGCGGAAUGUAUCAUGUAGCGGUGAAAUGCAUAGAUAUGAUACAGAACACCGAUUGCGAAGGCAGCUUACUAAGCAAUAACUGACGCUGAGGCACGAAAGCGUGGGGAUCAAACAGGAUUAGAUACCCUGGUAGUCCACGCUGUAAACGUUGAAUACUUGCUGUUGGCGAUAUACAGUCAGCGGCUCAGCGAAAGCGUUAAGUAUUCCACCUGGGGAGUACGGUCGCAAGAUUGAA